GGAUUCUAUUUACAGCCUGUAUCCAAUAUAGGAUCACUCUAUUACCGCCACAUAUCACCGCGCACCCCGCCUCACUUUUUCCUUCCCUCCGCCUAAUUUUCUCUGCUGCUACACAAUACUCACAAGUCAGUAAACUCGUCGGAGCUCUGAUGGGCGACCUUCGGCUACUGAAUCCACCUGAGAACGGCGACCCGGUAAUCCCUCCACCGCCGGCAUCUGAGAUCCUCAUUCCCAGUUCCGUCUCGAAGCGGCAGCGCCGCCCAAGUGUCCGCCUCGGUGAAAUCGGAGACCAGCCUGCUCACGAUCCCUCUCACCGCCGUUCCAAGUUCUCCAAACUUCUUGCCCCCUCUUCGGUCGGCGUAGCAGCCAAACCCUCAAACAAAUCCCGAGUGACCGCCGUCACUACGAGGCGUGUCCGCACGAACUGGCCCUCGCGGCUCGAUGACGGAUUCGACGCUGCCAUUGAAUUGAAAUCGAGCGGUGGGGAGGAUUCUAGAGAUGACGAGUUCGUCGAGGAGUCCGAGAGCCCCUCCAAUAGGAACGACCGUCGGGCUUCUGCUAGGGUUAGGGUUUCCGACGGAGGGGACGAGCCCUCGGAAGAGGGUUUCAAGGUGUGGUCGGGCGGCGUCCGGCCGUGGCUUGAGGGGAUAGGGCUUGGGCGGUACGCACCGGUUUACGAGAUACACGAAGUGGACGAUGAGGUGCUACCGCUGCUGACGCUGGAGGAUCUCAAGGACAUGGGGAUUAAUGCAGUCGGGUCCAGAAGGAAGAUGUACUGUGCGAUCCAGAAACUCAGAAAGAGCAGUGACUUGUGAAAAAUGAUUUCUUGAAGAAGAAAGUGAAGAGCUGCACCGCCUUGAUACUUGCUGCACCUCUUGGAUAAGACUUCCUGAAGGUCGUAGGUUUCCUUGGAUGGAGACAAGCACUAUAUUUAGAGUAUGGAGAAGGCCUUCCCAAACAUUUCAGCAUCAAUUAAUGUAAAGUUUGCUGACCUUCUGCAGAGUACAACAAUGAUGAUUGGAUCAUCAGGUUCUAGCUAUCUACAACCUUAGGGGGCUUUAUCAGUUAUUUGCAUCACCUUUCCAGCCGAAUUUGGAAGCCCUGUUACAUUAUUUUCUUACCUUCUUGGUGAAAAUAAUUGGUUAUGCACCUCAUCACCAUGCUUACAACCUCACCAUCUGUAUUCUAUGGUACAUUGUGUCAAUAUUUAUUUUUAUUGAAAGACUACCUGAAACUUGGCAACUUAUAAUGCUACAGAUCAUACAUAUUUUAAUAACUUAAAAUUUUUUGAAAUUUUUCAAAGGUCUAUCACAUUAUUUAAUUACAUGCAACAAAAGCAAAGUUUGAAGUUUUGAGUAAUGUAUAAAUAAACUUGUGUGCACCUUUCUUAGUUCCCAGUUUUCAUUGUCCUCUACAGGCAAUGCAAAUUACUGAAGCUUUAUGCUUAUGGCAGAAUCUUUUGAUGAAGUAUUAUAUAUGCAUAUAAAUUGAUUAAAAACUUCAUCUACAUAUGUUCUUUUACUUAAGAUGGGUCUAAUAUUUUAAAAGCCCUCAGAAUUUAGUCUCUAUCAAAUUGGGUUACAUUUUCUGUUAUAAAAUAAAAUUAACACCCUUUUACAUUUCUCUUCAUUUUUUUUAUUAUUCUGAUGUAAAAACACUUCUCUGAACUCCUCAAAACCAGCUUUCUUCAAUGAUCUAUGUCAAUUUCCUUUAUUUAAUCGAUGAUCUCUAGCGAUCUGCUUUACUGAACUAAUGUUUCUAAACCAAAUGUUGUUGGAUGAAAGAUUUCUCCUAUAGCAUACAACUAUCAUUUCCUUUUUUUGUAUUCUUUUACAUUGCUGGAGUAAGCAACUUGACCCUACAGAAAAAUGACCUAGCACUACAAGUAUUGAUAGUAAGAAUCAUAGGAUCUCUCUCAUUGUAUCAACAUCUCCUACGCUAGUUUUUCUUCUAUAAUGUUAGCGGAGUGAGAACUUGUACCUCUAUUGAAAAUGAUCGAAUCCUUGAAAAAUUAUUUUAGGAUGACAGUAUUUUGUUUAUAAAAUUAAUUUCAUUCAAAUUUAAGUAAAAAGGUGCAUUAGUUAAAUUAACAAAUUAUUUAACCCCUUAGCAAAAAUGAUCCAUCUUUGAAGACCAUAAAUCAAAUUGGGAGGAUAAUAGUGAAUCUCAAAAGUAGUUUUUUUAAGUGAGUUGUGAAGUUUUUUAAAUCAUGAACCAACGUGAACUGUGGCCCAAUCUUUGAGGGACUUCAAUAUUAUUUACCUUUUUAAUGACUAUUAAAAUAUGCAGAUUUAAAUGCAACCUUUCUUGUUUUUAAAAAUCUUUUACUGAUAUUUGAAAUGCUUGGCAAAUUACGUUAGAUAUGUAUCUUUAUCAUUCGUAGCCAAUAUUAUUGGGUUGGCCCCAAAAACCAACUUAAAACUAAUGAAAUUCUAUGCUCACCACAGAUUCUCUUGAUAGAUUAUUGUAUGCAUAUUAUAGAAAGCUCUAUCUUCGUAUCUCCUUCCUAUACUUCUAUUGUUAUGCUAGCCAGGUUGUAGCUAUCCGAGCUUAUCUUCACCUUUCACAUUUUUUUGCAACAAUUAUUCAGUUUGAGCUCUAUUACAUUUUUUUAUAGUAAACCUACUGUUUGAUCUCUAUGUUUACAACUCUGGUGUCAUCUGCAUGUAUAGUACAUUUUGCCAGUAUUUAUCAUUAUAAGCCAUCUUUAAUGCAGCUGAAAUGCACUUGUAGAAUUGCUUCCACGAGAAUCAUUUUUCUCUUUCUAUAUUUUCAUUUCUUGAUGCCAUAUCUUUGGUAUGAUUUAGGUAGAGGAUUUGUGGAGUUUCUUAUUUAGAUUCAUUGCUGGAAUGACUUGAAUUGCUUUGAAUGAAUAAGCCUAAUGCAAGCUACGAUAUUCUACACUUGUAAAUGUACCUUUGCUUUUGUUAAUGAAUACAAUAUGCAAUUUUUCAGGAUAAACCUUCACAUAAUCACUGUAUUCUUAUAGACUUUAGAGGUUUUAGAUUUUCCUUUCUAUGAUAUGUUUUCUUUUUGGUACUAAUGAACGGAAGGUUGCAAUGAAUGGAAAUAUUAAUAUAUGUUCAUGGAGCAUACUGGAUCACCAUUUGGUUCCAAUUUGAAAAUCUAAAUCACUGUAUAGUAGGGCUGCAAGCGAACCAAGCGUUCGAUGAGCUACUCAUUGCUCGGUUCGAUUAUAACUCGUUUGUGAUCGUUUAAUUAACUAAACGAACAAACUUGAACAAUAUUUUAAAUACUCGAUCCUUAAAUAAACAAGCUUGAACACUAGUGUGUUUGACUCAUUUAUGUUCGCGAACAACAUUAUUUGAAGCUCAUGAACAAGCUAUACAUUAAGCUCGGUAAAAGCUUGAUUUGUGAAUAAAUUGUUCAUGAACAAUAUUAGAUGAAUCAUAGAUUGUUUAUUCGUGAACGAGCUCAUUUGGUAGCUCGAAACACUAGUUAUAUAUAUUCAUGAACUUGCUCAUUUGUUAACUGAAGAAUAUUCAUUAGAUAUGUUUAUGAAUGUGCUUGUAUGAUAGUUUAAAAAAAUUCGUCAAAUAUGUUCACGAACAAAGCUUGUUAAGGCUUGUUUGUUUAAAGCUCGAUAAGCACUAAACGAACCGAACAUGAAUCAAACUUGAACAUCAAUUAAUUUAAACGAACCAAACAUGAACACUAACAAUAAAGCUCGAAUCAAACAUGAACCAAACUUGAACAAGCUGAUAGUAAAUGAACUCAAACAAGAACACUCAUAUACUCGGCUCGAUUCGAUUCAUUUGCAUCCCUACUGUAUAGUUUCUCAAGCUUAUUAAUUAUUCUGCCCAGCCUUUUUAAACAUGCUAAGCCAUUGUCUUGGAAUGUUUUGCUGCCACUGCUAUGAACUUAGUGUAUUGUUACGUGACCUAUAAAAAGGUUCAAGCAUCAAGCUACUUAGCAUCUAUUGAAACAGUAAUGGAAAAAAAAAAAGGUUUGUGGAAACCGAAGGGUUCUUUCAUCUCAUUAAAAUAUGAAAUUUGUACAUUAGGGAGCAAGUAUAGCACGAAAAGAAUGACAGGCCUGGUAGUGUACAUUCCUUCACACAUCUGAAAGACACUCGCCUCUCCAAUGUGGGACUUCCCAGGCUGUUCUCUCUAUAAAUCAUGUGAGAGUUACACAGUUCAGCGAGAAUGAUGAGAUUUGCAAUUAAUUUGUUGGGCCGGGGUUUGAAGU
This is an RNA transcript of Dendrobium catenatum, 4209 nucleotides long. It is a transcript of the gene named protein bicaudal C homolog 1-A, with no coding region annotated. The record is from RefSeq and is a predicted model, not a curated record. Lineage: Eukaryota; Viridiplantae; Streptophyta; Magnoliopsida; Asparagales; Orchidaceae. The transcript has 3 exons.